GUGAAUCAUCGAAUCUUUGAACGCAAAUUGCCCUCUUCGGUUUUCCGGGAGAGUAUGCCUGUUUGAGGGUCUGUUUCAAACAUAAUCGAGGUUGCCGCUGUGGUGGCGCCUCGGAAUUGGGUCAUCUUCCACCUUUCGGGGUUGUAAGCGACCUAAAAUUUUUCUUACGAUUUCUACGAACGUGUCUAAGAAUUUCUUGUUCGUUCGUGCGA
RNAcentral lists this unclassified non-coding RNA (212 nucleotides) under Glomeraceae sp. RNAcentral's name for it is "partial contains 5.8S ribosomal RNA and internal transcribed spacer 2". The stretch from base 1 to 72 matches the Rfam family "5.8S ribosomal RNA", at positions 84 to 154 of the family's 154-position model. Lineage: Eukaryota; Fungi; Glomeromycota; Glomeromycetes; Glomerales; Glomeraceae. The record is from RNAcentral.